ACUUUAAUUGAAGAGUUUGAUCAUGGCUCAGAUUGAACGCUGGCGGCAGGCCUAACACAUGCAAGUCGAGCGGCAGCACAGAGAAACUUGUUUCUCGGGUGGCGAGCGGCGGACGGGUGAGUAAUGCCU
RNAcentral lists this ribosomal RNA (129 nucleotides) under Vibrio navarrensis. RNAcentral describes it as "partial 16S ribosomal RNA". It matches the Rfam family "Bacterial small subunit ribosomal RNA", at positions 1 to 118 of the family's 1533-position model. The record is from RNAcentral. Lineage: Bacteria; Pseudomonadati; Pseudomonadota; Gammaproteobacteria; Vibrionales; Vibrionaceae.